GGAUGAAGGGAGCUUGCUCCUGGAUUCAGCGAGCGGACGGGUGAGUAAUGCCUAGGAAUCUGCCUGGUAGUGGGGGACAACGUUUCGAAAGGAACGCUGAUACCGGAUACGGCCUACGGGAGAAAGCAGGGGACCUUCGGGCCUUGCGCUAUCAUGAUGAGCCUAGGUCGAGAUUAGCUAGUUGAGUGAGGUAAUGGCUCACCAAGGUCGACGAUCCGUAACUGGUCUGAGAGGAUGAUCAGUCACACUAGGAACUGAGACACGGUCCAGACUCCUACGGGAGGCAGCAGUGGGGAAUAUUGGACAAUGAGCGAAAGCCUGAUCCAGCCAUGCCGCGUGUGUGAAGAAGGUCUUCGGAUUGUAAAGCACUUUAAGUUGGGAGGAAGGGUUGUAGAUUAAUACUCUGCAAUUUUGACGUUACCGACAGAGUAUGCACCGGCUAACUCUGUGCCAGCAGACUCGGUUUACAAAGGGUGCAUGCGUUUUCGGAAUUACUGGGUGAAAGCACGCGUAGGUGGUUUGUUAGUUGGAUGUGAAAUCCCCGGGCUUACCUGGGAACUGCAUCCGAACUGGCAGUUAGAGUUGGUAGAGGGUGGUGGAAUUUCUGUGUAUGGUGAAUGCCUCCAUUAGGAAGGAACACCAUUGGCGACGCUACCCCUGACUGAUCUGCACUGAGUGCAAACCUGGGGACAUCAGGAUUUAUACCUGGUAGCCACCCGUAACAUGUAACUAUCGUUGGACCUUGACUCUUAUGCAGCACUAACGCAUAAUUGACGCCGGCGAUACGCCGCAGGUAAACUCAAUGAUUGUGGGG
Molecule: ribosomal RNA, 814 nt
Filed under: uncultured Gammaproteobacteria bacterium
Lineage: Bacteria; Pseudomonadati; Pseudomonadota; Gammaproteobacteria
Description: bacterial SSU rRNA
Rfam family: Bacterial small subunit ribosomal RNA
Source: RNAcentral